UCAUGUGCACACGGUACCAGCCAUGUGGGUUUCAAUUUCUUUCAUUUUAAAAAAAGCAUGGAUCAUGUGAAUUUAGGGUGCAACUUUAAUUUUUAUUUAUUUUAUUUUAUUUUAUUUUUUUUCUUUUGCUUUAGGAAUGUUUUACAUUAUAUGUUUAGUAGUUUUUUUUUUCAUCCAUUAAAUUUAGUGUUGCAUUUUAAUGGCUUUAAUUAUAUUUAGAUAUUUUUGUUACAGUGUUAGGCAUUUAAUAUUUUCUUUUACUUUAAUGCUUUNUAUUUUUAGUUGUGAUAAUUUAGUUGUAAUGUUAGCUUUAGUGUCCAUCCGUUUCAAUAUUGUGAGUUAGGUUUAAUUUUCGUGCUUUAAUUUAGUCGAAUUGCAUUCACAGAAACACUUUCAACCCCCCCCCCCUCCGUGUUUGACUUGAUUCUUGAACCGUAAAAUUGGUCUUUGGGAGACGACCUAGGGGUCAUUCCCUAGCUAUACUGCAUUCCUAAUAUGCAAUCAAAUUUGUAUGGGCCGCGACACCCAUCACUUAGCAGUUUGCUUAAAUCAAUAAAUCUCUUAGUACUGGUUCUGCUAGAUUGAGAUUUGUAGCCUAUUCCUUGUCUGUAAAUAGCUCUGCCAGAUGAUUUUAGUACAACAUCUAAAUUGUCUCUUCCUUGAGUAAACUUAGUGUUAAACCUCUGCAAGUGUAGCAGAUCGUUAUUAAGUAAUAUAAACGGUAAGAUCGAGUAUCGUUCUCCCAAAUGACUCUUAGGUCUUA
RNAcentral lists this long non-coding RNA (763 nucleotides) under Vigna radiata. RNAcentral's name for it is "long non-coding RNA (VRAD_LNC010395)". The record is from RNAcentral. Lineage: Eukaryota; Viridiplantae; Streptophyta; Magnoliopsida; Fabales; Fabaceae.